Long non-coding RNA from Cyprinus carpio (common carp), 1074 nucleotides. The record is from Ensembl. NCBI's taxonomy places the organism in Eukaryota, Metazoa, Chordata, Actinopteri, Cypriniformes, Cyprinidae.
UCUAAUCCUGAUUUCAAGGUUUGAAUUAUGGCCAGUGAUGGAGGAAAAUGCAAACAAGGCCUCUGAUUUUUUCUGCUACAUCUAUGGGUGUUUUACUAAAUCCAAACAGUGACAGAAAAUUAAAAAUGGCUCUGAUGAAGCACAGAGGGCUGUUUGAACUUCUGGAAGCGCAGGGGCAGUUCCUUUUAGACUCCAAAUUCCAGUCCGGUUUGGUUCCAGAAGAUGACCGCAUUGACCCUGCUUCUAUAUCUACACGUGUCGCCAUAGAAACCAUGUUAGAAGAACUGGCCCCAAACCUGUGGGAGGAUGAUCUUGACAGACUGGUCGACUUCGGUCACCUGAUCAGCCCAGAACUAGAGAUGAAAGUCCUACCAGCUUUACUCCACGGUGAGGCAGUAAAUAUCGAUAUGUCCUACAUGGUGUAUGUGGCGUGUGAGAUGGGGUUGCUCACAGAGCAGGAGAAGUUCAGGAUCAUCUGUUGCAUGCUGGGACUGGAGUUGCCGGUGUGGCAUCAAGACUGCACCUUUGCUUUGGUUCAGAAAUCUCUGUGUGACAGACUACAGCACUCCGGAGGGCUUGUGAGAAUGCCUUUACCAACAGGCCUCGGAAGAGCAGAAAUCUUCAACGACAAUGAUGAAGGCACUCUGUUCCGGGCGUACGAGAAGUGGUGCGAUGAACUAUGCACUGGUUCACUUCAAUGAGACCUCAGCCAAUGUUUACAUAUAGGGGAGCCUCUUAGCUUUAAGAAUUUAUACGCAUGUUUUAUUCUAUGAUAGAUUUUGUUUCCUUUUUAUUUUGUAUACAUUAUGGGCAUUUAAGUGUUUUACAUUUAAAACAAUUGCUUCUCAUUUCUAUACUUGCCAUUUUUGUAAAUGGCCGGGAAUAGAAGAAGGCUGACUUGAUAUGUGAAGAUUUUUCUUUAGUUGUGUUUAAGGGUUUCUUUCCCAUCAUUUCAUAUUUGAUAAAGGGACAUUUCGGUUAAUAAUGAAAUCAUUUAUUAAAAUGUAAAAAAGUCUGCCUGAUGUGUUGGAUGUAAUACAUGAAUGUUUAUAAUAAACAAUUUUCUUAUUAACA